GAUGAACGCUGGCGGCGUGCUUAACACAUGCAAGUCGAGCGAGAAGUUUUGAAAAGAUUCUUCGGAUGAAAUUUAAAAUGGAAAGCGGCGGACGGGUGAGUAGCGCGUAGGCAACCUGCCCCAUACAAAGGGAUAGCAUUUGGAAACGAAUAUUAAUACCUUAUGAAACUUAACUAGUGCAUGCUAGGUAGGUCAAAGAUUUAUCGGUAUGGGAUGGGCCUGCGUCUGAUUAGCUAGUUGGUGAGGUAACGGCUCACCAAGGCGACGAUCAGUAGCCGACCUGAGAGGGUGAACGGCCACAUUGGAACUGAGACACGGUCCAAACUCCCACGGGAGGCAGCAGUGGGGAAUAUUGCACAAUGGGGGAAACCCUGAUGCAGCAACGCCGCGUGAACGAUGAAGGCCUUUGGGUCGUAAAGUUCUGUUCUAGGUGAUGAAAACUGACAGUAACCUAGGAGAAAGCCCCGGCUAACUCCGUGCCAGCAGCCGCGGUAAUACGGAGGGGGCAAGCGUUAUCCGGAAUUAUUGGGCGUAAAGGGUACGUAGGUGGCCUUUUAAGCGUAGGGUAUAAGGCAAUGGCUCAACCAUUGUUCGCCCUAUGAACUGGAAGGCUUGAGUGCAGGAGAGGAAAGCGGAAUUCCUAGUGUAGCGGUGGAAUGCAUAGAUAUUAGGAGGAACAUCAGCGGCGAAGGCGGCUUUCUGGACUGCAACUGACACUGAGGUACGAAAGCGUGGGGAGCAAACAGG
RNAcentral lists this ribosomal RNA (747 nucleotides) under uncultured bacterium. RNAcentral's name for it is "bacterial SSU rRNA". It matches the Rfam family "Bacterial small subunit ribosomal RNA", at positions 28 to 776 of the family's 1533-position model. The record is from RNAcentral.